This 485-nucleotide ribosomal RNA is filed under the name uncultured bacterium. RNAcentral's name for it is "bacterial SSU rRNA". It matches the Rfam family "Bacterial small subunit ribosomal RNA", at positions 899 to 1397 of the family's 1533-position model. The record is from RNAcentral.
ACUCAAAGGAAUAGACGGGGACCCGCACAAGCAGCGGAGCGUGUGGUUUAAUUCGAUGCUACACGAAGAACCUUACCAGGGUUUGACAUGCAAGUGGUAGGAAACUGAAAGGGGACCGACCCUUCGGGGAGCUUGCACAGGUGCUGCAUGGCUGUCGUCAGCUCGUGUCGUGAGAUGUUCGGUUAAGUCCGCUAACGAGCGCAACCCUCACUGUGUGUUAUACGUGUCACACGGGACUGCCGGUUUUAAGCCGGAGGAAGGUGGGGAUGACGUCAAGUCAGCAUGGCCUUUAUAUCCUGGGCUACACACACGCUACAAUGGCCGGUACAAUAGGUUGCCAAGCCGCGAGGCGGAGCCAAUCCAUAAAGCCGGCCUCAGUUCAGAUUGUAGGCUGCAACUCGCCUGCAUGAAGACGGAGUUGCUAGUAACCGCAGGUCAGCUAUACUGCGGUGAAUACGUUCCCGGGUCUUGUACACACCGCCCGU